Lynx canadensis (Canada lynx) is the source of this 313-nucleotide long non-coding RNA. RefSeq lists it as uncharacterized. The transcript has 2 exons. The record is from RefSeq and is a predicted model, not a curated record. Lineage: Eukaryota; Metazoa; Chordata; Mammalia; Carnivora; Felidae.
UGGGGGAGUGGAACGCGGCGAUUCGGUCCCAGCUAGAGGGAAGUGAAAAUCGGGACUCGAGACCGACUAGAAGGCGUAGUUUUAAAUCCCGUUUAACUUUCUGAGCCUUGGUCUUCGCUGACAAACGAGAGCAUGGAUGUCAGGAAGGAAGCAGUCAAGAGAGGAGAGGAUUGCCCCCUGGCUAGCCAGAAGGGGUCAGUCUGAAUGGAGACUAAACUCUGGGGUGAUAAUCACUACAUUCUGUGGAAUCCCAGAUGAGAGAUGGGAGAGAAGAGGCUAAUAAUCUAAUUGCAGAUCUGGGAGAUGGGAUUAU